Molecule: ribosomal RNA, 508 nt
Filed under: uncultured bacterium
Lineage: Bacteria
Description: partial 16S ribosomal RNA
Rfam family: Bacterial small subunit ribosomal RNA
Source: RNAcentral
GAUGAACGCUAGCUACAGGCUUAACACAUGCAAGUCGAGGGGAAACGAUAUUGGAAGCUUGCUUCCGAUAGGCGUCGACCGGCGCACGGGUGAGUAACGCGUAUCCAACCUGCCCACCACUUGGGGAUAACCUUGCGAAAGUAAGACUAAUACCCAAUGAUAUCUCUAGAAGACAUCUGAAGGAGAUUAAAGAUUUAUCGGUGAUGGAUGGGGAUGCGUCUGAUUAGCUUGUUGGCGGGGUAACGGCCCACCAAGGCGACGAUCAGUAGGGGUUCUGAGAGGAAGGUCCCCCACAUUGGAACUGAGACACGGUCCAAACUCCUACGGGAGGCAGCAGUGAGGAAUAUUGGUCAAUGGGCGAGAGCCUGAACCAGCCAAGUAGCGUGCAGGAUGACGGCCCUAUGGGUUGUAAACUGCUUUUAUAAGGGAAUAAAGUGAGCCUCGUGAGGCUUUUUGCAUGUACCUUAAGAAUAAGGACCGGCUAAUUCCGUGCCAGCCGCCGCCGUAA